Long non-coding RNA from Callithrix jacchus (white-tufted-ear marmoset), 2274 nucleotides. RefSeq lists it as uncharacterized. Lineage: Eukaryota; Metazoa; Chordata; Mammalia; Primates; Cebidae. The record is from RefSeq and is a predicted model, not a curated record.
ACCAUGGUGGACCAUGGGUAACUGAAACUCUGGAAAGUGAAACUUAGGAUAAGAGGUGGAUAUUAUUAUACUUUGGGGAAGUCGGGGAGGCUGCACAAAGAUACAAAGUUGGGGGUAUUUGAAGACCUGAAUAAUGGCAAAUGAUUUCUGUUUGUUUGGGAGCAUUUGAGAACUGAAUAGAAUUAAAUUUUACUUAAUCAUCAUCAAGAGGCCUGGGGCACAAUAAGAAAGAGAAGAUAAUGAGAAAUCCAAGUUUGGAAAAAUAUUUGGCUACGUGAUGAUACAAUUAACCAAGAGAUCCUGAGAAGGAUAUAUCUAGAUAGAAAAAUAGGAAGGAGAAAAUGCUAACUUUUGAAUUUUAAACAAGUUGAGACUAAAGUGUUUGAAGCAUCAAUCAAGAGUUGUGUAAGUACAGUACUCAAAAUGUCAGGAUUAGACAAACAGAGUAAGCGACAGUUUGCUCAAGUUCAAAACAUUUCUAUUACUAUUAUCAACUAUAUACCCCCCAAAGAAAUCCACAGAAUGAGCAAGUGGGAAGAGGGAGAACAAUGCCAAACUCCUGUAAAUUACUAUAGUACUCUGAUUUAUAAUACGUGUUCGGGUUGCCAAGAAGCUUUUUUUGUUGUUGUUUACUUCUUAGAUCUGACCACACUAACCUCCAGUUAAGUGAGGUUAUGUGUACCAUAUAAAUAAGAUUUAGCAAGCAUGGUCCUAUUCAUGGUUUAUUCAUUCAGGGGGAAAGCAGUCUUCAUAGCGUAGUACAAUAAGUCAGGAACAUGUACUGACUUGUACUUCUGCCGUUUAUGUAGCAAUUUCCUUGUAUGUCAACACCAUUGUUCGCAGCCCUGCAAUUUUUAAAGUGUGCUGGACAAUGUGAUGAAAACAUUAGCACAAUACAACCCAACUUCCCUAUAUGCUAAUUAUCAUGGAAAAUGGCUGACCAAAAGACAAAAUUCCUUUAAAAAAUUUACUUUAUGUGCUUCAAAGUGAGUGGUUUAAUACAUUUAAAAAAACAUAAACACAAAAGUUUGUAAACUCAGUAUGGAAAAGUAUCACUUUCAUAUGCAAUCCUUAAGUUUAAUAUUAAUAAAGUUUAACUUCUAAGGUUACUUUAUUUACCAAAAAUUAAAUACCUGAAAUGAUAUAUUACUGAAUUAUUUUUUAAACUUCAAAAUAACCAUGGGUAGAAACUACCCUAUAAACAUACAUACAGAUGUUCUAAGGAAAAAUAGACAUCUUUAACAUACUUACUUGGUUUUAAAUCAUAAUAAUCACAGCAGGCAAAAUAGUAUAUUCAUCGAGUUAGAGUCAAUGCAGUUAAAUAAUUUAUUAAUGUUAUACAAUUUAUACAUGGAUAAGAGGAAUAACAAAUGCUAUUCACUGGAUUCUUCAAGCAGAUUUUAGAAACUUUAUUUGAAUUAUUUAAUCUCUGCCAAAGUCCAUCUGUUUAUACUUGGUGCUUUGGAAACACUCAGUUGGAUUCUUCCAAACAGCAAAUGGCAGGUCAAGUUUAGAGCAUGUGACUUCCCCAAUAAUUAUAUUUAAAUAGCAUGCAGUGAGUGAGAAAUCAGAUUCCCCACAGACACUGGAGAAAGACUGAAUUCUUACUCUUCAAAGAAAAAUAUCAAAAGGAGGAUCAUGCUCAAGCUAUCACUGGUUGGUCUGCUCCUGUUUGUUAAUAAUAUUCUGGGAACAACUUCAACAUCAACAACCUCAAACUCUGUGGCAGUAUCCACUCCUGGGUCAAGUCUGAAUCCCGGCACCAGACCAAAUCUGAGGACCAGCACCACUCCCAGAAUGAACCCCAAUCCCAGGACAAGCCCAAAUCUCAAAAUGACAUCGAAUCCCAAGACAACUCAAAAUUUCAAGACAAGUCUAAAUACAGCAGUGACCCCAAAGAUAGCCACAAGUAAGAAUAUGAACACUGUGAGAAAUGGUAGCACCAUACUCAAUCCAAUGGACAACAUUCAUCUUAUUUUCUAUGUAAUAUUUUUGCUGUUUUGUGUACACUUGCACUCAGGCUGAAGUGAACUUCAAUUGCCUGCAUUCUUAUCUGUUUCUUAUUACCUGCUGAAUGACAAGCACAUUAGAAAAUUAUCACUUACUUCAACUUACUACUUAAGAAAUUAUAUAAAAAAAAAUUAUCAUUAUCCUAGCUUGAUUUGGUUGUUUGCAAAUUAUAAUUGUCUAAGUUUAAAUAUUACCUUAAUAUGAUGGUUUCCUUCCAUAUGAAAAAGGUAUGUACUACCUUAUUAAAUGCUGAAACAAGCAAAA